This 240-nucleotide ribosomal RNA is filed under the name uncultured bacterium. RNAcentral describes it as "partial 16S ribosomal RNA". It matches the Rfam family "Bacterial small subunit ribosomal RNA", at positions 93 to 334 of the family's 1533-position model. The record is from RNAcentral.
CGUAGGCGGACGGGUGAGUAACGCGUGGGUAACCUGCCUCAUACAGGGGGAUAACGGUUAGAAAUGACUGCUAAUACCGCAUAAGCGCACAGUACCGCAUGGUACGGUGUGAAAAACUCCGGUGGUAUGAGAUGGACCCGCGUCUGAUUAGCUAGUUGGUGGGGUAACGGCCCACCAAGGCGACGAUCAGUAGCCGACUGAGAGGGUGACCGGCCACAUUGGGACUGAGACACGGCCCAG